RNAcentral lists this ribosomal RNA (280 nucleotides) under Enchytraeidae sp. voucher 1224. Its description in RNAcentral is "partial small subunit ribosomal RNA". Lineage: Eukaryota; Metazoa; Annelida; Clitellata; Enchytraeida; Enchytraeidae. The record is from RNAcentral.
GUCACUUAAUUCGAUAAUCCACGCACUUUAUAACCUGAUUUUGAAUCUCAGCUUGUAUACUUCUGUCGUCAGUAAACCUCUAUAAGAUAGUUUACAAUAAUAUUAACCUAUAUUUACGUCAAGUCACUGUGCAGCCAAUAACCAGGAGUAGAUGGGUUACAAUCUUAAUCAAGAAACGAACAAUUUUCUAAAUAGAAAUACUAAAGGUGGACUUGAAAGUAAUGAUCUUCUAUCAUUAAUUAAUAUCUAAGACAUGCACACAUCGCCCGUCGCUCUCAUU